GGAGGAUUCGCCUAGUGGCCUAGGGCGCACGCUUGGAAAGCGUGUUGGGUGCAAGCCCUCAGGGGUUCGAAUCCCCUAUCCUCCG
RNAcentral lists this transfer RNA (85 nucleotides) under Nocardiopsis tropica. RNAcentral describes it as "tRNA-Ser". It matches the Rfam family "tRNA". From Rfam's summary of the family: Transfer RNA (tRNA) molecules are approximately 80 nucleotides in length. Their secondary structure includes four short double-helical elements and three loops (D, anti-codon, and T loops). Further hydrogen bonds mediate the characteristic L-shaped molecular structure. tRNAs have two regions of fundamental functional importance: the anti-codon, which is responsible for specific mRNA codon recognition, and the 3' end, to which the tRNAs corresponding amino acid is attached (by aminoacyl-tRNA synthetases). tRNAs cope with the degeneracy of the genetic code in two manners: having more than one tRNA (with a specific anti-codon) for a particular amino acid; and 'wobble' base-pairing, i.e. permitting non-standard base-pairing at the 3rd anti-codon position. RNAcentral also lists the same sequence under 13 other names. The record is from RNAcentral. Lineage: Bacteria; Bacillati; Actinomycetota; Actinomycetes; Streptosporangiales; Nocardiopsidaceae.